CAUUUAUGAGUUAGUUUGAUUAGAUUAUGUCACAUAUACAUGUAUUACAAUUAAGGGACACUUGCGAAAAUGGCAAAAUAAGUUAUAAUAAUUAAGUCCAUAGAACACAUACUUUAUUAUUUGAGAAAGUGACAAAAACAAAGACCAACUGUAACGACCCAACUUUUCUAGGUAAGUCGAGGUCGUUAAUUUUUGACAAAAGACUUUGGUUGAUACAAAAUGAAAUGUAAGCCAAUUGAAAAACAACUUUAAGUCAGGCCUGAUUUUCAAAUAUUCCAAAAACUUAAAAAAAGUACUAUUUACAAAUAAAAGUUUGUAAGCUAAGUUUCAAUACAACGUCUUAAACCUAAAACAAACAAUAAGCGGAAGCAAAAUAACACAUUUCCUAUGGCAAUCACACUUCCUUCCUGCCCCUCGCCGGUUUGCCGCCUUUAUUACCUUUGCCUGAAAAUUAAACAUAAGAAGGGUGAGUAUAAAAAUACCCAGUAAGAGACCCUCUACUGGUCCCGUCAGGGGAAAAAUAAAUUGUUAACAUUCUAUUGGGACACCCUGUACAGUCGCAGUCUUGUGAUCCCGUAGGAUGCACAUUUCAGUCUAACGCCCGAGGACGUACAUUUCAGUGUAGUGUUCUGCAGAAACACAUAUCAGUCUAAUGCUCCCGAAGGUGCAGAAUAAUUGGUGAUCCCGUGGGACACCUACAAGGCACACAUCCCAAUAAAAGCUAACAAUUUUUCCCCUCAAUCCAUUCGUACCAUCUUUCAGUUACUUCAAAAUAUAAAGUUCUUUCACUCAACGUUCUAACAGUCAACUUAUCUCACUUUAGCCCAAUGUCUGUCAGUAACAUACUAAUACGUCAGUCAAUCAAACUAUAUAGUCAUAACGCCUCUCAGUUCACCAGCACACAGUCAUACUUUAGUAUAACGUACACCCAGUCUAAACGACAAUCACAAGUUCACAUCCGCAUCUCAUACAAACACAAUCUACAAUUGUCGUCCUGUCUACAUCCACACACAUAUAUAUAUAUUCCAAGACAAUCACAAUAUGCAUUCAACAUCAAGUCUACUUCAAUCCAUGUGUAUAUAUAUAUUUUCAGUCAUCCACAGUAUACAUUCAACACCGAACCUACAUCCAUACGUAUAUAUAUAUUGUCUCAACACAUUUACUCAAUCAGAGGUGACUAACAUUACAAUUCAAAAGCAUAGGUGAGUCCAGUAGAAAAUAAAAUCCCUUACCUCACUUUUAUGCAAGUUCUUCAAUCUACUAAAUCCAAUGAAUCAAAUCCUAAACAUAAUCAAUCAUAAAAUCAACAUCUUUCUAAAUAGUUUCAACCAUUCAAAUUACCCCAUAUGUAAAUUCCACAACUUACCCAAGAAGUGGAAAAUCAAGUCCACUUCAACCUUUUGGAAAAUCAAGGAUUCGCUCACUGAAUCAAGAUGUACCUUCAAGAAUUAAGCAUUUCGCCAACAAUUAAAUCCAAUGGCAGCAUUCAACAAAAACCAAGAAACCAACAAAAACCAUAACUUGUUCUUACCCAAAUAUGAGCCCAAUGGUUCACGGCGAGGCAAAAAUGACAAUCAAGAACGAAUCAAGCGGCUGUAAAUAGAGCAACACUGAAUGCGACUCAACUGGAAAAGAAAAUCGGCUUCAAAUCGUAACUCCGUCUUACAACGAGCAGAAGAACGUCGACUUGAUAGGGGACACGUAAUUUAGGAAGAGAUCGACUUGGAUCCGUGUAUGACUUCACGAGAUGUAUGCGUCGACGGCUUCACGGAGGUGAAGACAGACGCGGUCGGAGAGUCACGCGGCAGUGCAGAAAACGGAGGAGAAAGGAACGGGCGGCGGCUGGCUUGGCUUCGACGGAGACAGAGAUUGCGCAGCAGGGCUUCACGAACGGAGAGGAAAGGAAUGGGCACGGCGAUGCAGAUCUGGACGACUGCUGCAAGGUGACGCGUACGGCACUUCACGAACCGGCCGACGGUUGCAGCGACGGAUCUGGGUUAUGGCGAACUGCAAGGGUGAAGCACAAGCGACGGCGAGGACCUGGACGGCUCGGCGAUGCAGAUCUGGAUGACGAUUUGCUUUCCGAGGGAGGCACGACGGUUGUGAGCGGAGAGGCACGGUGGUUGUGAGCGGAUGGGCGCGGCGGUUUCGAUCCGAAGGAGAAAAGGAAGACGACCGGAAAGAAGAAGAAGAAACGACCGGCAGCUUGUGUGGCCGACUGGGUGAACGGAGAAGAGAGGGAUGUGCGGCUGCUAGGGUACGGGAAGGAGAAAGGGAUGGAGGACGCACGGGAGGAAGAAGGAAGGAAAAAUUUCUUUUUUCUUUUCUUUUAUUUAAAUAAUAAAAAUAAAACUAAAAUAUAAAUAAAUAUAUAUAUAAUAAAUUUCUUUUUCUUUUCUUUUAUUUAAACUAAAUAAUAAAACUAAAAUAUAAAUAUAUAUAUAUAAUUAUAUUAUCACAUUUUCAAAUCUUCUUUCCCCCUUCAACAUAUUUUCUUCAAAACAAUAAAUCUUGUACAAAUCGAAAAAAUCUCUUAAAAUAAAAUACCUUCGAGUUUGGGGCGUUACAUUCUUCCUCCUUAAGGCGAAAGUUCUAAUCCUAAAUAACUCUUGAUAACGAGUCCUCAUCUCUUCUUCUCGCUCCCAUGUCGCCUCUUCAAUUCGAUGAUUCCGCCACAAAACCUUUACUAAUGGAAUGCUUCUAUUACGAAGCAUCUUUACCUCUCUAGCGAAUCUCCACAGGUUGUUCUACAUAGCUCAAAUGCUCAUCAAUCUCCAAGGUUCAUAGUCCACGACAUGAGAUGUAUCGGCCACAUACUUCCUCAACAUCGAAACAUGGAAAACAUUAUGGACUGCAGAGAGUGAUGGUGGUAAUGCCAAGCGAUACGCCACAACACCAACCCUCUCUAAGAUCUCAAAUGGUCCAACAAAACGAGGACUUAACUUCCCUUUCUUCUCAAAACGCAUAACACCCUUCAUAGGUGCUACCUUCAAGAAUACCUUUUCUCCCACAUCAAACUUAAGGUCUUUUCGCCGUACAUCUGCAUAACUCUUUUGUCUACUCUGCGCUGUUUGCAUACGUGCUCUAAUCUUUUGAAUAGCCUCAUUAGUAGACCGAACUAAUUUAGGUCCCAUCAACCUCUGUUCACCAACCUCACUCCAACAAAUAGGGGUUCUACAACAUUUACCAUACAAAGCCUCAAAUGGUGCCAUACCGAUGGUAGCCUGGAAACUGUUGUUAUAAGCAAACUCCAUCAAAUGUAGAUGAGAGUCCCAACUACCUGGAAACUCUAGAACACAAGCUCGUAGCAUAUCCUCUAAAACUUGGUUCAAACGUUCAGUUUGACCAUCAGUUUGUGGAUGAAAGGCUGUACUGAAAUCUAAUCUCGUACCCAUAGCAGUCUGAAGUCCCUUCCAAAACUUGGAAGUAAACCGUGCAUCCCUGUCAGAAACAAUCGAUACAGGCACUCCAUGCAGUCUCACAACCUCAGUUAAAUACAACUGUGCCCACUUACUAGCAGUAUAAGUGGAUUUCCCUGGUACAAAAUGUGCGAUUUCGUAAGCCUGUCUACAACAACCAAAAUCACUGUGAAACCCUUCAGGGUCUUAGGCAGCCCUGAAAUAAAAUCCAUCGACACAUUCUCCCACUUCCACUCUGGCACACUUAAAGGUUGUAACAAACCUGCUGGUUUCUGUCUAGGUGCCUUAACCUGCUGACAUACUAGACACUUACUAACGAAUUCCGCCACUUCCCUUUUCAUAUUCCGCCACCAAUAAAAUCGUUUUAGAUCCUGAUACAUUUUCGUACUACCAGGAUGCAUGGAAAAUGAAGAAUUAUGGGCUUCAUCUAGUAAGUCAAUCUUAGCUGCACUGUUCGCUGGCACACACAAACGUCUCUCAAACAUCAAUCCACCAUCAGAGGAUAUGGAGAACUCAUCAGUCUGCUCUGUUCCAACAAGGCGACGUCUCUCCAUCAAAUAAGGAUCAUUACUCUGAGCAUCAACAAUCUUCUGCCUCAGAGUCAGUUGCACCGUUAAUUGAGCUAACUGUGAGGUGACUCUCCCCACAGAUACUACAAUCUCAGCUCUCUCCAAGUCUCGAUGUAAUGGUACCUGUCUAGUAAUGAGUGCUGCCGAAUGUGAUACUUUUCUACUAAGAGCAUCAGCCACCACAUUCGCCUUACCAGGAUGGUACAAUAUCUCACAGUCAUAAUCCUUUACCAACUCGAGCCACCUUCGCUGUCUCAUAUUCAACUCCUUCUGAGUGAAGAAGUACUUCAGGCUCUUAUGGUCAGUAAAGAUUUGUAUCUUUUCACCGUACAAAUAAUGUCUCCAUAUCUUCAAUGCAAAAACCACUGCUGCCAACUCCAAAUCAUGUGUGGGGUAGUUCUGCUCGUGACUCUUCAACUGACGAGAGGCAUAAGCAACCACCUUACCUUUCUGCAUCAAAACACAACCCAGUCCUUUCUUGGAAGCAUCACUGUAAAUCACAAAACUUCCGGAUCCAUCUGGUACUGUAAGGACCGGUGCAGUAACUAACCUUUGCUUAAGGUUCUGAAAACUAUCCUCGCAAGCUGGACUCCAAACAAACGGAGUUCCCUUCCUUGUCAACUGAGUCAAGGGAGUAGCCAAACGUGAAAAAUCCUCCACAAACCUCCGGUAGUACCCUGCUAAACCCAGAAAACUACGAACCUCACUAACUGUAGAGGGUCGAGACCAACUGGUAACCGCUUCUAUCUUUGCAGGGUCUACAGAAACUCCCUCACUGGAAACCACAUGACCAAGAAAAGCCACCUGCUUCAACCAAAAUUCGCACUUAGAGAAUUUAGCAUAAAGUUUAUUGACUCGAAGAGUCUCUAACACUUUAUGUAAGUGUUCCUCAUGUUCGGCCUCAGUCUUGGAAUAAACCAAAAUAUCAUCAAUGAAGACUAUCACAAAAGUGUCUAAGAAAUCCUUAAACACCCUGUUCAUCAAAUCCAUAAAUACUGCAGGUGCAUUAGUCAAACCAAAAGACAUUACCAUGAAUUCAUAAUGUCCGUACCUCGAACGAAAAGCAGUCUUAGGAAUAUCACGGUCUCUAAUCCUCAACUGGUGAUAACCUGACCGUAAGUCAAUCUUAGAGAACACCGUGGCUCCCUGUAACUGAUCGAACAAAUCAUCGAUUCUAGGUAAAGGAUAUCUGUUCUUGAUUGUUACUUUAUUCAACUCUCUAUAGUCAAUGCAAAGACGCAUCGACCCAUCCUUCUUCUUCACAAACAAUACUGGUGCACCCCAAGGCGACACACUAGGUCGAAUAAAGCCUUUGUCAAGCAACUCCUGUAACUGUACCUUCAGUUAUUUCAACUCGACAGGAGCCAUCCUAUAAGGGGCUCUAGAAAUGGGAGUAGUGUCUGGCUCCAACUCAAUGGCAAAAUCAAUCUCUCUAUGUGGCGGUAGUCCUGGAAGAUCUUCUGGAAACACAUUGGGUAUUCUCUUACCACAGGUUCUGAAGUUAAGGAAGUCUCAUCUUCCCUAGUAUCCACCACACUUGCCAAAAUACUCCAGGUACCCUGGUUGAGCAGUUUACUAGCUUUCAUAGCUGAGAUUACUUUAGGCAGUACUACUGUUCCUACCCCUUGAAUUUAAAGCUAGAUUCGGUAGGGGGACUGAACACAACCUCUUUACGAGAGCAAUCAAUACUAGCAUGAUUAGUAGCUAGCCAAUCCAUACCUAAAAUUACAUCAAAGUCACGCAUAUCUAAUACCAACAAGGUUACGUCCAGCACACGACCAGCUAUCUCAAUUUCACAUGCUUUAAUCUUUUCCUUAGACAACAUAAUUUCUCCAGACGGUGUAGACACUGACAAAACAUAAUCUAAGGGUUCCACCUCUAAGCAUGCAUGCGUCACAAAAAGCGAUGAAAUAAAUGAAUGAGAAGACCCCGAGUCAAACAAGGUCAAGGCAAAAUGCCCUAACACUGGUAAUGUACCUGUCACCACUGUGCAGGCCUUCUCUGCUUAUGAUCUAUUAGUGGCAAAGAUUGUACCCCGCUGUGGAGGUUUCGCUCCCUGACUGCUCUGUCCAGCCCCAGUAGAUCUCAAGGGACAUCGAUCAGCCAUGUGUCCCUCUUGCUUGCACUUAUAACAGACUCUCGUUCCCAUCAAACAACGACCCAGGUGGUGUUUCCCACACGUAUUGCAUAGUGGCUUCUCUCGAGUAGUGUCUCCUGCCCCGCCAGAACUCUGCUGGAAACUGCAAAAAGGAUCGCCUAAUCUCAAGUUCCUCUGAGGAAUUCCCACAGUUCUCUGCUCUGCUUUCCUCUUUUGACCAGACGACGAUCCCUUAUCAAAACUCCUUGCCCGAAUUUCAUCCUUCCCAAUGCUCAUAUCCACUGCCAGGCGCAGCGCUUCAGCCUGGGUAGUGGGCUUUAGUGCUCGCACAAAGCCUCUAAUCUCAUCUCUCAAUCCUUUGACGAACCUAUCAGCUCUAGCCUGCUCAUUACCAACAAGUUCAGGGGCAAAACGCGACAGCAUAUCAAACUCCUGGUCGUACUCCUCGACUGUCAUAUGUCCUUGCUUCAAUUCCAAGAAUUCCUGGCUUUUGGCGUCUCUAAGGUUAGCCGAGAAAAACUUGGUAUAGAAGCAGUCUUUAAACUGAUCCCAGGUAAUCUGUCUCACAUCUCCACCUAGCAUACGCAUCGUAGUUCUCCACCAGAUAAUACCUCUGUCCCUCAGAAGAAAAGCAGCACACUGAACUCUAUGCUCCUCUGGACAUCUCAUGUAAUUAAAUAUGGUUUCCACAGAGGACAACCACAACUCAGCUUUAGUAGGAUCCUCCAGUGACCCAUCAAACGUCUGAGGGUCAUAUUUCCUAAAGUCCCUCAAAUGUUUCGCCUCAGCAGAAAGUUGGUUCGGUAAUGUCUGCGGCUGUUGUGCAGCCAAUCCUUGCGCAGGAGGGGCUGCUGGUGCAGGUGGAGCUGCUGGUACAGGGGGAACCACAGGUGCAGGUGGAACUGCAGGUGCCUGCUGGUUCUGAGCUAUAGCCGUCAUAAGCUCCGUGAACCUCUGCUCCAUGUGAGCAGACAGUGCAGCAAACUCAACAUGAGUCACGGGUGCAGUAGGAAUUCGCUAUUCAGCUUGACCCUCAGUAGGUUGAUUACGACCUGCUCCUCUACCCCAGCCUCUACGACCUCUCUACGUACACCUCUCUUUGGCGGCAUAAUUCCUAUUAUCCACCAACAACACUCUUUAAAAAGUCUUAAUCAUAAGCAUAAGAGUCUUUAUCGUCAUGCAAUCUAGUUUAAUUUAGGCAAACUCAUGCAAAUAAACCAUACAUAUAAGCAUAAAGAUACCUGACGAGAGACGAAGGGUCGCGUUAGCCAUAGGGACAUAAAACAUAGACUUACAUCGUAAGUCAGUCUACAGAACCUAAAACUUAGGCUCUGAUACCAACUGUAACGACCCAACUUUUCUAGGUAAGUCGAGGUCGUUAAUUUUUGACAAAAGACUUUGGUUGAUACAAAAUGAAAUGUAAGCCAAUUGAAAAACAACUUUAAGUCAGGCCUGAUUUUCAAAUAUUCCAAAAACUUAAAAAAAGUAUUUUACAAAUAAAAGUUUGUAAGCUAAGUUUCAAUACAACGUCUUAAACCUAAAAAAAAACAAUAAGCGGAAGCAAAAUAACACAUUUCCUAUGGCAAUCACGCUUCCUUCCUGCCCCUCGCCGGUUUGCCGCCUUUAUUACCUUUGCUGAAAAUUAAACAUAAGAAGGGUGAGUAUAAAAAUACCCAGUAAGAGACCCUCUACUGGUCCCGUCAGGGAAAAAUAAAUUGUUAACAUUCUAUUGGGACACCCUGUACAGUCGCAGUCUUGUGAUCCCGUAGGAUGCACAUUUCAGUCUAACGCCUCGAGGGACGUACAUUUCAGUGUAGUGUUCUGCAGAAACACAUAUCAGUCUAAUGCUCCCGAAGGUGCAGAAUAAUUGGUGAUCCCGUGGGACACCUACAAAGCACACAUCCCAAUAAAAGCUAACAAUUUUUCCCCUCAAUCCAUUCGUACCAUCUUUCAGUUACUUCAAAAUAUAAAGUUCUUUCACUCAACGUUCUAACAGUCAACUUAUCUCACUUUAGCCCAAUGUCUGUCAGUAACAUACUAAUACGUCAGUCAAUCAAACUAUAUAGUCAUAACGCCUCUCAGUUCACCAGCACACAGUCAUACUUUAGUAUAACGUACACCCAGUCUAAACGACAAUCACAAGUUCACAUCCGCAUCUCAUACAAACACAAUCUACAAUUGUCGUCCUGUCUACAUCCACACACAUAUAUAUAUAUUCCA
This 8306-nucleotide long non-coding RNA is filed under the name Cucumis sativus (cucumber). RNAcentral describes it as "long non-coding RNA (CSAT_LNC002950)". The record is from RNAcentral. Lineage: Eukaryota; Viridiplantae; Streptophyta; Magnoliopsida; Cucurbitales; Cucurbitaceae.